GGUGAACGCUGGCGGCGUGCCUAACACAUGCAAGUCGAACGAACAGACGGUGAGCUUUUUCUCCUGACGUUAGCGGCUGGCGGGUGAGUGACGCGUGGAUCACCAACUUAUUUGUCGGGGGUGAUUUCGUGGGGCCGGAGACGCUAACACAGAAUAUAAUGUACCGGAGGAAGCAAUAGUUAAAUGCGGCUUUGCCGUCACAUUUAGCUGAAUCCGCGUCGCAUUAGCUAGUUGGUAAAGUAACGGCAUACCAAGGCAACGAUGCGUAGCCGACCUGAGAGGGUGAUCGGCCACACUGGAACUGAGACACGGUCCAGACUCCUACGGGAGGCAGCAGUGGGGAAUCUUCCGCAAUGGGCGAAAGCCUGACCCAGCCACACCGCGUGAGUGAUGAAGGUCUUCGGAUCGUAAAGCUCUGUUGUUGGGGAAGAAAAGAAGCGGGAUUAUCUCUGCACGUCUUGACGGUACCUAAACAAAAAGCACCGGCUAACUACGUG
Molecule: ribosomal RNA, 497 nt
Filed under: uncultured bacterium
Lineage: Bacteria
Description: partial 16S ribosomal RNA
Rfam family: Bacterial small subunit ribosomal RNA
Source: RNAcentral